RNAcentral lists this ribosomal RNA (253 nucleotides) under uncultured bacterium. RNAcentral describes it as "partial 16S ribosomal RNA". It matches the Rfam family "Bacterial small subunit ribosomal RNA", at positions 524 to 776 of the family's 1533-position model. The record is from RNAcentral.
UACGUAGGGUGCGAGCGUUAAUCGGAAUUACUGGGCGUAAAGCGUGCGCAGGCGGCUUUGCAAGACAGAUGUGAAAUCCCCGGGCUCAACCUGGGAACUGCAUUUGUGACUGCAAGGCUAGAGUACGGCAGAGGGGGAUAGAAUUCCGCGUGUAGCAGUGAAAUGCGUAGAUAUGCGGAGGAACACCAAUGGCGAAGGCAAUCCCCUGGGCCUGUACUGACGCUCAUGCACGAAAGCGUGGGGAGCAAACAGG